AAAAGAGUUGAAACUUCUACUUUAAUAAUAUAGACUAGAACUUGAUCCGCGUGUUCGCGCAUGUGUUAGUGUUUUUAUUUAUGUUGAUUUUUGCUUUCCAUGUGAACAUUAUAUUUUUAGAUGUGUGACCAUUUUGUUAUACAAUUGUAUCGCGAUAUUAAUUUUUAUUUUUUUUUAUAAAAUUUUAUUUGUUUUCCAUUUUAAGUGUUAUAUUUCUUUUAAAAACAACUACAUUACAGAUGUAUCAUAUAUUUGUCGUAAUCUAUUGAUCAUAUUGAAAUUGUUUAGUAAAUAAUAAUAUGGUAUCAAUUUUAACGAUUUUAUAUAAGAUUUUAUUAGUUUUCCAUUUAAAGUGUUCUAUUUAAAAAAAAAAUAAUAUACAUUGCAGAUGUAUCAUAUAUUUGUCGUAAUCUAUUGAUCAUAUUUAAAUUGUUUAGUAAAUAAUAAUAUGGUAUCAAUUUUAACGAUUUUAUAUAAACAAAAUCUGUAUAUUGCAAGUGAAUUUUAUGUUUUUUCAGAAAUAAAGAAGAAAUAUUUAUUUAGCAAUAUGUAAUAUACUUUCUU
Molecule: long non-coding RNA, 564 nt
Filed under: Brassica rapa (field mustard)
Lineage: Eukaryota; Viridiplantae; Streptophyta; Magnoliopsida; Brassicales; Brassicaceae
Description: long non-coding RNA (BRAP_LNC006691)
Source: RNAcentral